UGUCUCUCUCUCUCUCUCUCUCUCUCUCUCUCUCUCUCUCUCUCUCUCUCUCUCUCUCCCUCUCUCUCCCUCUCACGCUCUCUCUCUCCCUCUUUCCCUCUCUCUCCUUCUCUCUCCCUCUCUCUCUCUCACCCUCGUUUGGGUGGCAUACCUCUAUUUUUUAUACCGCAAUCAGGUCACUUCACGUCGUUCGUCCGUCAGUCACAUCCGUUAGUCAUCACAUCAUUUUUUUUUCCAUUGACUUUUUCUCUCCUUACUAGAUUUUGUCACUUGGUGCAAAUUCGGCGAUCCCCAUUUUUUAUAAAUAGGACCCUCCCUUCACCAUUUCUUCAUCACUUCUAUUCCAUCCUCCAAGAGCAUAGAGAGAGA
Molecule: long non-coding RNA, 369 nt
Filed under: Carica papaya (papaya)
Lineage: Eukaryota; Viridiplantae; Streptophyta; Magnoliopsida; Brassicales; Caricaceae
Description: long non-coding RNA (CPAP_LNC015426)
Source: RNAcentral